CACAACACUGAGAUGAAGGCAACGUCACCAUGAAAAGUUAAACGUUUAACGUUAAGCUCAGAUUGUGAUGGACCUGGAAUGUGACACCAGAUACUCUUAAGUCAAGAACCAAAUAAAGCACAGAUGUGGAGGGAUCUGCAACUAAACUAACUGGAGGAAAGGAACCUUUAGUGUGGGUGAACAUACUACCUUGAUGUCCAGCAAAGGCUGCACAAGAGCUCAUUUGAUGGCACAUAUUCUGUCCUGUCUACAUCUCUGACGACCUGGAAGUGCUUUGACAUCAGAUCAUCAUCAUGUUGCUGCCCUUUUUCACUGUCCCUUUUCCACAACAUCAUUUGAACUUCAUCAUUUCCUGUCUUGUAGCAGUAUUUUCACCUGUUUUUAAAAUUGUAAUACUUUUUGAUGCAUUAAUUGUUGACUGGUUUUAAUGAUCAAUUGUUCAUUAGUGUUCUGUUGCUUUGUUAUAUUGAAUAAUUGCUACUGUUUCAGUAGGGUUUACACAAUAAACUUUUAUUGUGAA
Danio rerio (zebrafish) is the source of this 520-nucleotide non-coding RNA. NCBI's taxonomy places the organism in Eukaryota, Metazoa, Chordata, Actinopteri, Cypriniformes, Danionidae. The record is from Ensembl.